CCAGACUCCUACGGGAGGCAGCAGUGGGGAAUAUUGCACAAUGGGGGAAACCCUGAUGCAGCAACGCCGCGUGAGUGAGGAAGUAUUUCGGUAUGUAAAGCUCUAUCAGCAGGGAAUAGAAAAGAAGGUACCUGAAAAAGAAGCCCCGGCUAACUACGUGCCAGCAGCCGCGGUAAUACGUAUGGUGCAAGCGUUAUCCGGAUUUACUGGGCGUAAAGGGAGCGCAGGCGGCGCGCCAAGUCUGAUGUGAAACCCCGGGGCUCAACCCCGGGCAUGCAUUGGAAACUGGCGGGCUGGAGUGCCGGAGAGGUAAGCGGAAUUCCUAGUGUAGCGGUGAAAUGCGUAGAUAUUAGGAAGAACACCAGUGGCGAAGGCGGCUUUCUGGACUGAAACUGACGCUGAGGCACGAAAGCGUGGGGAGCGAACAGGAUUAGAUACCCGUGUA
Molecule: ribosomal RNA, 445 nt
Filed under: uncultured bacterium
Lineage: Bacteria
Description: partial 16S ribosomal RNA
Rfam family: Bacterial small subunit ribosomal RNA
Source: RNAcentral